UCUGUGUGUGUUUCUACCCUUAGACUCUUAGCUGAAGAAGUGUCUUUAGAAUAAAUCUCUUGACAUUUAUUUUGGUCCUUCGUAGCCGGGGCAGAAACAUCAGAACUGUUAUCUGUGACUCUGUUCCAGGAUCCAGUACUGAUUCCUGACGCCGUGGGAAGCCAGCACCGAAGUCUGUGCACAGCCCUCUUAAACGAGGCCGAAAGCCCUGGGACGUGUGAAUUCGGGUCCAGGCCGGUGUUUUUAGUCUGGUCCACGGCGGUGGGAUUCAGUCUGGCGAUCCGAAUCACCAGUGAGACGUCUGAGGGUGAGAAACACUAUUUUGGUUAGGAAUCGCCGUAAUGAACCGACAAAUAAAAUAGGUUAGGAAUCGCCGUAAUGAACCGACAAAUGAAAUAGGUUAGGAAUCGCCGUAAUGAACCGAAUAACAAACAAAAUAGAAAGCAGCGUACAAUAGGUUAGGAUUCGCCGAAGGAACCGAAUUAGACCUAGGUUUUAGAGGUAGCCGUAAUUACUUCGUGACAAAUUAGCGCGCAAAUGUCUAUCUGUGUGUAUGUGUUUGGAAGUAAGUUGAUUUUACAGCACAAUACGCUGCUGAACUACUUCCAUUUUAUUUUAUUUUAUUUUGUUUUAUUUUGUUUUUCUUUGCUUGAGGCUCACGUACUGGUGACAAAAGAGAACGGUUGAGCUUCGUCUCAUAAAACUGAUACCGCUUCACUGUUAGAAGUGAAGUCGAAGGCCGUAUCAGAAACCACUCUGAAGUCAAGCGUGCCAGUGACGGCCCAGCAAAAUCUUUGAACAUGGAGAAUAAACAAGCAAAAU
Oreochromis aureus is the source of this 822-nucleotide long non-coding RNA. RefSeq lists it as uncharacterized. The transcript is spliced from 2 exons. The record is from RefSeq and is a predicted model, not a curated record. NCBI's taxonomy places the organism in Eukaryota, Metazoa, Chordata, Actinopteri, Cichliformes, Cichlidae.